This 253-nucleotide ribosomal RNA is filed under the name uncultured bacterium. RNAcentral describes it as "partial 16S ribosomal RNA". It matches the Rfam family "Bacterial small subunit ribosomal RNA", at positions 524 to 776 of the family's 1533-position model. The record is from RNAcentral.
UACGGAGGGUGCGAGCGUUGUCCGGAAUCACUGGGCGUAAAGGGCGCGUAGGUGGCCCGUUAAGUGGCUGGUGAAAUCCCGCGGCUCAACUGCGGGGCUGCCGGUCAGACUGGCGAGCUAGAGCACGGUAGGGGCAGAUGGAAUUCCCGGUGUAGCGGUGGAAUGCGUAGAGAUCGGGAAGAAUACCAGUGGCGAAGGCGUUCUGCUGGGCCGUUGCUGACGCUGAGGCGCGACAGCGUGGGGAGCAAACAGG